GAUGAACGCUGGCGGCGUGCCUAAUACAUGCAAGUCGAGCGAACGGACGAGAAGCUUGCUUCUCUGAUGUUAGCGGCGGACGGGUGAGUAACACGUGGAUAACCUACCUAUAAGACUGGGAUAACUUCGGGAAACCGGAGCUAAUACCGGAUAAUAUUUUGAACCGCAUGGUUCAUAAGUGAAAGACGGUCUUGCUGUCACUUAUAGAUGGAUCCGCGCUGCAUUAGCUAGUUGGUAAGGUAACGGCUUACCAAGGCAACGAUGCAUAGCCGACCUGAGAGGGUGAUCGGCCACACUGGAACUGAGACACGGUCCAGACUCCUACUGGAGGCAGCAGUAGGGAAUCUUCCGCAAUGGGCGAAAGCCUGACGUAGCAACGCCGCGUGAGUGAUGAAGGUCUUCGGAUCGUAAAACUCUGUUAUUAGGGAAGAACAUAUGUGUAAGUAACUGUGCACAUCUUGACGGUACCUAAUCAAAAAGCCACGGCUAACUACGUG
Molecule: ribosomal RNA, 497 nt
Filed under: uncultured bacterium
Lineage: Bacteria
Description: partial 16S ribosomal RNA
Rfam family: Bacterial small subunit ribosomal RNA
Source: RNAcentral